GACGCUGGCGGCGUGCCUAAUACAUGCAAGUCGAACGGUCUUUUCUAUGGAAGCUUGCUUCCACUGAGAAGAUAGUGGCGAACGGGUGAGUAACACGUGGGUAACCUGCCCAUAAGAGGGGGGAUAACAUCCGGAAACGGGUGCUAAUACCGCAUAGUUUUUCUUGAUUGCAUGAUUGAGAAAGGAAAGACGGCCUUUGUGCUGUCGCUUAUGGAUGGACCCGCGGCGUAUUAGUUAGUUGGUGAGGUAACGGCUCACCAAGACGAUGAUACGUAGCCGACCUGAGAGGGUGAUCGGCCACAUUGGGACUGAGACACGGCCCAAACUCCUACGGGAGGCAGCAGUAGGGAAUCUUCCGCAAUGGACGAAAGUCUGACGGAGCAACGCCGCGUGAGUGAAGAAAAGGUUUUCGGAUCGUAAAACUCUGUUGUCAGAGAAGAACAAGUUGGAGAGUAACUGCUCCAGCCUUGACGGUAUCUGACCAGAAAGCCACGGCUAACUACGUGCCAGCAGCCGC
RNAcentral lists this ribosomal RNA (517 nucleotides) under uncultured bacterium. Its description in RNAcentral is "bacterial SSU rRNA". It matches the Rfam family "Bacterial small subunit ribosomal RNA", at positions 32 to 518 of the family's 1533-position model. The record is from RNAcentral.